UGCCUUUGGCAGUCUCAGGCGAUGAAAGACGUGGUAGCCUGCGAUAAGCUUCGGGGAGUCGGCAAACAGACUUUGAUCCGGAGAUCUCUGAAUGGGGGAACCCACCUGGCAUAAGUCAGGUAUCUUGUACUGAAUACAUAGGUGCAAGAGGCGAACCAGGGGAACUGAAACAUCUAAGUACCCUGAGGAAAAGAAAUCAACCGAGAUUCCCUUAGUAGUGGCGAGCGAACGGGGACUAGCCCUUAAGUGGCUUUGAGAUUAGCGGAACGCUCUGGAAAGUGCGGCCAUAGUGGGUGAUAGCCCUGUACGCGAAAAUCUCUUAGUCAUGAAAUCGAGUAGGACGGAGCACGAGAAACUUUGUCUGAAUAUGGGGGGACCAUCCUCCAAGGCUAAAUACUACUGACUGACCGAUAGUGAACCAGUACCGUGAGGGAAAGGCGAAAAGAACCCCGGAGAGGGGAGUGAAAUAGAUCCUGAAACCGUAUGCGUACAAGCAGUGGGAGCCUACUUGUUAGGUGACUGCGUACCUUUUGUAUAAUGGGUCAGCGACUUAUAUUCAGUGGCGAGCUUAACCGAAUAGGGGAGGCGUAGCGAAAGCGAGUGUUAAUAGCGCGUUUAGUCGCUGGGUAUAGACCCGAAACCGGGCGAUCUAUCCAUGGGCAGGUUGAAGGUUAGGUAACACUGACUGGAGGACCGAACCGACUACCGUUGAAAAGUUAGCGGAUGACCUGUGGAUCGGAGUGAAAGGCUAAUCAAGCUCGGAGAUAGCUGGUUCUCCUCGAAAGCUAUUUAGGUAGCGCCUCAUGUAUCACUGUAGGGGGUAGAGCACUGUUUCGGCUAGGGGGUCAUCCCGACUUACCAAACCGAUGCAAACUCCGAAUACCUACAAGUGCCGAGCAUGGGAGACACACGGCGGGUGCUAGUCCGUCGUGAAAAGGGAAACAACCCAGACCGUCAGCUAAGGUCCCAAAGUUAUGGUUAAGUGGGAAACGAUGUGGGAAGGCUUAGACAGCUAGGAGGUUGGCUUAGAAGCAGCCACCCUUUAAAGAAAGCGUAAUAGCUCACUAGUCGAGUCGGCCUGCGCGGAAGAUGUAACGGGGCUCAAACCAUACACCGAAGCUACGGGUAUCACUUAGGUGAUGCGGUAGAGGAGCGUUCUGUAAGCCUGUGAAGGUGAGUUGAGAAGCUUGCUGGAGGUAUCAGAAGUGCGAAUGCUGACAUGAGUAACGACAAUGGGAGUGAAAAACUCCCACGCCGAAAGACCAAGGUUUCCUGCGCAACGUUAAUCGACGCAGGGUUAGUCGGUCCCUAAGGCGAGGCUGAAAAGCGUAGUCGAUGGAAAACAGGUUAAUAUUCCUGUACUUCUGGUUAUUGCGAUGGAGGGACGGAGAAGGCUAGGCCAGCUUGGCGUUGGUUGUCCAAGUUUAAGGUGGUAGGCUGAGAUCUUAGGUAAAUCCGGGAUCUUAAGGCCGAGAGCUGAUGACGAGUUGCCAUUAGGCGACGAAGUGGUUGAUGCCAUGCUUCCAAGAAAAGCUUCUAAGCUUCAGGUAACCAGGAACCGUACCCCAAACCGACACAGGUGGUUGGGUAGAGAAUACCAAGGCGCUUGAGAGAACUCGGGUGAAGGAACUAGGCAAAAUGGCACCGUAACUUCGGGAGAAGGUGCGCCGGUGAGGGUGAAGGACUUGCUCCGUAAGCUCAUGCCGGUCGAAGAUACCAGGCCGCUGCGACUGUUUAUUAAAAACACAGCACUCUGCAAACACGAAAGUGGACGUAUAGGGUGUGACGCCUGCCCGGUGCCGGAAGGUUAAUUGAUGGGGUUAGCUAACGCGAAGCUCUUGAUCGAAGCCCCGGUAAACGGCGGCCGUAACUAUAACGGUCCUAAGGUAGCGAAAUUCCUUGUCGGGUAAGUUCCGACCUGCACGAAUGGCGUAACGAUGGCGGCGCUGUCUCCACCCGAGACUCAGUGAAAUUGAAAUCGCUGUGAAGAUGCAGUGUAUCCGCGGCUAGACGGAAAGACCCCGUGAACCUUUACUAUAGCUUUGCACUGGACUUUGAAUUUGCUUGUGUAGGAUAGGUGGGAGGCUUUGAAGCGUGAACGCCAGUUUGCGUGGAGCCAAUCUUGAAAUACCACCCUGGCAACUUUGAGGUUCUAACUCAGGUCCGUUAUCCGGAUCGAGGACAGUGUAUGGUGGGUAGUUUGACUGGGGCGGUCUCCUCCUAAAGAGUAACGGAGGAGUACGAAGGUGCGCUCAGACCGGUCGGAAAUCGGUCGUAGAGUAUAAAGGCAAAAGCGCGCUUGACUGCGAGACAGACACGUCGAGCAGGUACGAAAGUAGGUCUUAGUGAUCCGGUGGUUCUGUAUGGAAGGGCCAUCGCUCAACGGAUAAAAGGUACUCCGGGGAUAACAGGCUGAUACCGCCCAAGAGUUCAUAUCGACGGCGGUGUUUGGCACCUCGAUGUCGGCUCAUCACAUCCUGGGGCUGAAGCCGGUCCCAAGGGUAUGGCUGUUCGCCAUUUAAAGUGGUACGCGAGCUGGGUUUAGAACGUCGUGAGACAGUUCGGUCCCUAUCUGCCGUGGACGUUUGAGAUUUGAGAGGGGCUGCUCCUAGUACGAGAGGACCGGAGUGGACGAACCUCUGGUGUUCCGGUUGUCACGCCAGUGGCAUUGCCGGGUAGCUAUGUUCGGAAGAGAUAACCGCUGAAAGCAUCUAAGCGGGAAACUUGCCUCAAGAUGAGAUCUCACUGGAGCCUUGAGCUCCCUGAAGGGCCGUCGAAGACUACGACGUUGAUAGGUUGGGUGUGUAAGCGCUGUGAGGCGUUGAGCUAACCAAUACUAAUUGCCCGUGAGGCUUGACCAUAUAACACCCAAGCAAUU
Molecule: ribosomal RNA, 2878 nt
Filed under: Pseudomonas brassicae
Lineage: Bacteria; Pseudomonadati; Pseudomonadota; Gammaproteobacteria; Pseudomonadales; Pseudomonadaceae
Description: 23S ribosomal RNA
Rfam family: Bacterial large subunit ribosomal RNA
Source: RNAcentral